UACGUAGGGCGCAAGCGUUGUCCGGAAUUAUUGGGCGUAAAGAGCUCGUAGGUGGCUUGUCGCGUCUGCCGUGAAAGCCCGUGGCUUAACUACGGGUCUGCGGUGGAUACGGGCAGGCUAGAGGCUGGUAGGGGCAAGCGGAAUUCCUGGUGUAGCGGUGAAAUGCGCAGAUAUCAGGAGGAACACCGGUGGCGAAGGCGGCUUGCUGGGCCAGUUCUGACGCUGAGGAGCGAAAGCAUGGGGAGCGAACAGG
Molecule: ribosomal RNA, 253 nt
Filed under: uncultured bacterium
Lineage: Bacteria
Description: partial 16S ribosomal RNA
Rfam family: Bacterial small subunit ribosomal RNA
Source: RNAcentral